GAUGAACGCUAGCGACAGGCCUAACACAUGCAAGUCGAGGGGCAGCAUGGUAUCAGCUUGCUGAUACCGAUGGCGACCGGCGCACGGGUGAGUAACGCGUAUGUAAUCUGCCUGUAACAGAGGGAUAACCCGGAGAAAUCCGGCCUAAUACCUCAUAGCACAUAUUAUUCGCAUGAGUUUUAUGUUAAAGAGACUCGGUUACAGAUGAACAUGCGUUCCAUUAGCUGGUUGGCGGGGUAACGGCCCACCAAGGCAACGAUGGAUAGGGGUUCUGAGAGGAAGGUCCCCCACACUGGUACUGAGACACGGACCAGACUCCUACGGGAGGCAGCAGUGAGGAAUAUUGGUCAAUGGGCGAGAGCCUGAACCAGCCAAGUCGCGUGGAGGAAGACGGCCCUACGGGUUGUAAAACCUCCUUUUUAACCUGGGAAUAACGGGCGCUACGCGUAGCGCUGUGCAUGUACCGGGAGAAUAAGCAUCGGCUAA
This 486-nucleotide ribosomal RNA is filed under the name uncultured bacterium. Its description in RNAcentral is "bacterial SSU rRNA". It matches the Rfam family "Bacterial small subunit ribosomal RNA", at positions 28 to 500 of the family's 1533-position model. The record is from RNAcentral.